UACGGGGGAGCAAGCGUUGUUCGGAUUUACUGGGCGUAAAGGGCGCGUAGGCGGCCACCGCAAGUCGACUGUGAAAUCUCCGGGCUUAACCCGGAAAGGUCAGCCGAUACUGCGGGCUAGAGUGCAGAAGGGGCAACUGGAAUUCUCGGUGUAGCGGUGAAAUGCGUAGAUAUCGAGAGGAACACCUGCGGCGAAGGCGGGUUGCUGGGCUGACACUGACGCUGAGGCGCGAAAGCCAGGGAGCGAACGGG
This 251-nucleotide ribosomal RNA is filed under the name uncultured bacterium. RNAcentral describes it as "partial 16S ribosomal RNA". It matches the Rfam family "Bacterial small subunit ribosomal RNA", at positions 524 to 776 of the family's 1533-position model. The record is from RNAcentral.